RNAcentral lists this transfer RNA (66 nucleotides) under Lactiforis takii. RNAcentral describes it as "tRNA-Leu". Lineage: Eukaryota; Metazoa; Mollusca; Gastropoda; Amphibolidae. The record is from RNAcentral.
UUUGACUUGGCAGAAUUAUAUGUACUUGAUUUAGGAUCAAAUUAUAACACUAAGUGUUAGUCGGAA